Long non-coding RNA from Rhincodon typus (whale shark), 627 nucleotides. RefSeq lists it as uncharacterized. The record is from RefSeq and is a predicted model, not a curated record. The transcript has 3 exons. NCBI's taxonomy places the organism in Eukaryota, Metazoa, Chordata, Chondrichthyes, Orectolobiformes, Rhincodontidae.
CGGUAGAUAUUCGCUGAAGGCACCCAUGCCAUAUUUGAAAGGUUGCUGUGCACCCGGAUGAGCACUGGUGUUCCAAAGCUGCUCUGUUUGGUCAAGAAGUCAGAAGAUGUCAGAGAAGAAGAAGAUGGCAUCGCAAUUCUCCGACAGGACCUGGAGGUGUAGAGGAAUCCCCUUCCUGGAAAACUGGUGGAGAAAACUGCACCCAGAUACUGCCAACCUGGUGCGAGGUCACCACCUGAGUCAGUGUCAUCUCAACAUGUGGAAGAAUGAUCGGCAAUGCUGUCAGAAAGUCAGGUGGCCUUCUCCAGUCUGCCAGGGAGAAGACUGCUCAGAGGAGAGCACAAAGGGUCCAAGUCGGUAGAGGGGUGGCCAAUAUUCGAGUCCUCAGCUUCUAAGAGGAAAAUCCUGUCCCUUGCAAGAGAAGACUAGGAUUGGUGCUUCAGGGAUGCAGAAACAUCCCACCAACUGAGUACCAACAGCAUCUCCAGUAUGUCUGUGGAAAAACUCCCAGUUCCAUUAGAAGACACCUCCACGACUUCUCAGGACAAGAGUACGGUAUGUGGGACCAAAUGGCCCUCAUUGAGAUCAUCUGGCUGCCACCAAGGACAGGUUGGCAGCUGCCAUAGA